Molecule: signal recognition particle RNA, 300 nt
Filed under: Macaca nemestrina (pig-tailed macaque)
Lineage: Eukaryota; Metazoa; Chordata; Mammalia; Primates; Cercopithecidae
Description: Metazoan signal recognition particle RNA (ENSMNEG00000002937.1)
Rfam family: Metazoan signal recognition particle RNA
About the family: The signal recognition particle (SRP) is a universally conserved ribonucleoprotein. It is involved in the co-translational targeting of proteins to membranes.
Source: Rfam by way of RNAcentral
GCUUGGCAUAGUGGCAUGUUCCUGUAGUCCCAGCUACUCAGUAGGCUGAGGAAGGAGGAUCACUUGAGUUCAGGAGUUCUGGGUUGUAGUGUACUAUGCCAAUUGGGCAUCCACACUAAGUUCAGCUUCAAUAUGGUGACUUCGUGGGAGAAGAGGACCAUCAGGUUGCCUAAGGAGGGGUGAACUGACCCAGGUCAGAAACAGAGCAGGUCAAAACUCCCAUUCUGAUUAGUAGUGGGAUCAUGCCUGUGAAUAGCCACUGCACUCCAACUUGGGAAACAUAGUGAGACCUGGUUUUCU